AUUGAUCUUUGAUCUUUGAUCUUGAUCUUUUUAACGAAAGGGUAUUUUUUGGGUGAAGCACUAGCAAUGAUAAAAUCUAACAAAAGGGAAUAGACCAAAAAAUGACGAACACCUGCCCCAACCGAAAGCCAAAGAAAUGUCUUUGCCAUUGGCCAUUUUCCACAGGCUUUACUUUUCAGUUAGGACUGCAUCCGUCUACCGAAACGAGCCCUUUGUGGCCUGAGUUCCUAAAUUUUUCCCCUCGCAUUUGCCCUUUUUAGCCGCACUGCGGUCAUUUGCAAGACCUGGCAACAUUCUCCACCACCUGUGUCAUCAAUUGCACCCGCAAAAUGGCCAAACAAUCAACAAGCAGCGCGACGGGUGUUGGGCCUGAACAAGAUUUCGAGUGUCUAAGCCCACCUUCAUAUCCAU
Non-coding RNA from Drosophila melanogaster (fruit fly), 411 nucleotides. NCBI's taxonomy places the organism in Eukaryota, Metazoa, Arthropoda, Insecta, Diptera, Drosophilidae. The record is from Ensembl.